This 392-nucleotide ribosomal RNA is filed under the name Rhizosolenia sp. RNAcentral describes it as "partial small subunit ribosomal RNA". It matches the Rfam family "Eukaryotic small subunit ribosomal RNA", at positions 582 to 975 of the family's 1831-position model. Lineage: Eukaryota; Bacillariophyta; Coscinodiscophyceae; Rhizosoleniales; Rhizosoleniaceae. The record is from RNAcentral.
AUUCCAGCUCCAAUAGUGUAUAUUAAAGUUGUUGCAGUUAAAAAGCUCGUAGUUGGAUUUCUGGCGGGAGCGAUCGGUCCUUCACUCAGUGUUGGAACCUGAUUGUCUCCUGCCAUCCAUGGAGAAAACUUAUCUGGCAUUAAGUUGUCGGGUAGGCAAUCUCCAUCUUUUACUGUGAAAAAAUUAGAGUGUUCAAAGCAGGCUUAUGCCGUUGAAUAUAUUAGCAUGGAAUAAUAAGAUAGGACUAUGGUACUAUUUUGUUGGUUUGCAUACCAAAUUAAUGAUCAACAGGAACAGUUUGAGGAUAUUCGUAUGAACAUGUCAGAGGUGAAAUUCUUGGAUUUGGAUCAGACGAACUACUGCGAAAGCAUUUAUCAAGGAUGUUUUCAUUA